GACUUUAUUGAUUGCACAUUGUUGCUCGUUUAAAUUAAGGAGCUAGCCAAAUAACUAAAAUGGAUCGAUAACCUUCAUUAUAAGUUUGUCGUUGCAGGUGCGACAAAAAAAGUCCAAAUUAUCACGUCCACACCGUUGUAGCGAUAACAAUUGCGUCCGCAUGUAUCCAUGUAAGAGUGAAAUCGACGAGUUUUUGCGCUCCGACGACGACGUUGACCAUGGCAUUUUAAAACAUUUUUCUUUGGCGUUCGCGCGUCUAAUUGGAUUACGCAGAUUUGACAGUAUGUCGCACAGGUGCGAGUCCAUAAAUUUCCAGGAUAGGAAGAAUUGCAAUGAUCUCGACUGUACCUACUAUAGAUUAUGGUAAUUUUUUGUCUGGUAACGAUGACAGUGAUUAAUUAGAUAUCUAUGGAUUAAUCAGUUUGUUUGAAUUUCAAAACUACCGAUCACACAAAGACAUUAUUUUAGACAAUUCUACUGAACAAAUAGUAAUUGACCAGUAUAUACCGAAUUCAAGUUGUGCUUGAAAUAAGAUUGACAGGUUCCACAAUAGCUGUGGUGUCAUUGGCACAAGGGCCACUCUGUCACCGACCACACUAUACGCAGAUUUUAUUAACAAUAAGUGGAUCGAGAUUCGAUUUCGUGC
Molecule: long non-coding RNA, 646 nt
Organism: Phymastichus coffea
Lineage: Eukaryota; Metazoa; Arthropoda; Insecta; Hymenoptera; Eulophidae
Exons: 3
Source: RefSeq, a predicted model, not a curated record